Molecule: RNA transcript, 1260 nt
Organism: Sapajus apella (tufted capuchin)
Lineage: Eukaryota; Metazoa; Chordata; Mammalia; Primates; Cebidae
Gene name: ATP synthase subunit gamma, mitochondrial-like
Exons: 1
Source: RefSeq, a predicted model, not a curated record
CCAGAAUGAAAUAUUCAGGUAUGUAGAUGCAGUAAGCAUAGCACAUAUAAAAGCAGGAUAGCUAAAAAGAAACCCAUAACUAGAACCAUUAGAGUAAACUCCAUAACACCAAGAUAAAGUCUUUAAAGAAGCCUAAGGAAUUUAAAGAAAUCAUCUAUGUAGAAAAUCGAAAAUAAUCAAUUAAAAAACUGGAACCAGAAGGGGCCUGAGUGAUAGACCUUCAGCAGGGCUGUAGCUACCAUCUUUUCUCACACGGGCAUUGCUGGGCUGUCGGUCUGGACCUUGCAGCUGCAAUCGAUUCAAGUUCAAAAUAUGGCAACUUUGAAAGGUAUUACAAGGCAACUAAAGUUCAUCUAAAACAUCCAGAAAAUUACCAAGUCUAUGAAAAUCGUAGCAGCAGCAAAAUAUACCUGAGCUGAGAGAGAGUUGAAACAUGCUCGAAUAUAUAGAUUGGGAUCUUUGGUUCUGUAUUAAAAAGCUGGUAUUAAGGAGCCUGAAGACAAGAAGAAACAUCUCCUUAUUGGUAUGUCCUCAGAUUGAGGAAUGUAUGGUGCUAUUCAUUCCUCCACUGCUAAACAGAUGAAAAGCGAGGUUGCUACACUAACAGUAGCUUGGAAAGAAGUUAUGCUUGAUGAAAUUGUUGACAAAAUCAGAGGCAUACUUUAUAGGACUCAUUCUGACCAGUUUCUAGUGGCAUUCAAAGAAAUGGGAAGAAAGCCUCCUACUUUUGGAGAUGUGUCAGUCAUUGCUUUUGAAUUACUCAAUUUUGUAUAUGAAUUUGAUGAAGUCUCCAUCAACUUUAAUCGAUUCAGGUCUGUCAUCUAUAAGACAGAAGAAAAGCCCAUCUUCUCCCUUAAUACCACUGAAAGUGCUGAGAGCACGAGUAUCUAAAUGAUAUGGAUGCUGAUGUGCUGCAAAAUUACCAAGAAUACAAUCUGGACAACAUCAUCUACUACUCUCUGAAAGAGUCCACCACUAGUGAGCAGAGUGCCAGGAAGACAGCCAUGGACAAUGCCAGCAAGAAUGCUUCUGAGAUGAUUGACAAAUUGACAUUGACAUUCAACCGUACUGGCCAAGCUGUCAUCACAAAAGAGUUGAUCGAAAUUAUCUCUGGUGCUGAACCUCUGGAUUAAUGAAAACAAAGUUCCAUCCUCAGAGAAGAGGUAAGGAAGGAAAAUUCAGCCAGGUGAUUUUGUUUUUAGCUUACUGCUGUCUUUGCCAAAAGUGUUCCUCCAUUGUUUGAAUUACUGCAGACAGCAA